Toxotes jaculatrix (banded archerfish) is the source of this 1005-nucleotide long non-coding RNA. RefSeq lists it as uncharacterized. NCBI's taxonomy places the organism in Eukaryota, Metazoa, Chordata, Actinopteri, Toxotidae. The transcript has 3 exons. The record is from RefSeq and is a predicted model, not a curated record.
CUCUGGGCUGUGUGUAAGAGGAUCACUUUGUUUCCGUUGCCUUUUUCCGCGGUGCUGCAGACACACAUUGAGGGGAGGAUUGGAUUUGAGGAGAUACUGACGGGUUUGCACAGCUGCAACAGUCCCCUCCAUCUCCACACCAGGACUAAUGCCCCCCCUCCCUCUCUCCCUCUCUCUCUCUCUCUCUCCCUCUCCGUGUGUUUGACUCUCCCUCUGUCGCACUCUCUGCUUCUGCCUCUCGGAGGGGUGGGGGUGCCAUAUGGGAGCUCAGAAAAAUGGAAGUGGAUCGGAGAUAGACAAGAGAGGAAUCUUUCAUUCUUGGUCUCGGAUGUCGGGAUCUAUGUGAAAAGGCGAACUUAAAAAUUGACCCCAGGCAGCAAAACCCCCCAUGAGGAAGACACAUCCAUGAAGGGAGCCCUGGCAAUUGUCAGUCUUUCCCCGCUCUCAGAGGUAAGACAAAUCACAACGAGCAAGGUAAGACAAAUGACAUAACUUUCAUUUGCAACACAACGACCAAAUCCAAAGUCUUACUUUCCAGUAUUCCUCAGCAGACCAGAGAAAGAGAUAGUGUUUUGGUGUAUGACUGCCUUGUUUUGCUUGCGCACUUGCACUAGACGAGUGAGUCAGUAAAAGUGUCAGACUGCCGUAACAGACGGCCUGCGCAAGAUAAUUAGCCUGGAGUCAUUUGGAAGCAGCUCAGCUCUGCCCAGGUGCCCACUGUGCACAGAAAGAGACCAGAUGACCUUUUACUCAGCUCCAUCCCACUGCAGUCACUUAAAACAGUGAUGGAUGUUUCCCUUAACACCCUGCUCCCUACCAGCGCUCGUUCUCCUUUUCCCUUCACCCUCCCCUCUCUCUUAUUUCACCAUUUUCCCCUCCUUCCCUCUUCUCUGUUCCGUUCCAGCAUCGCUCUCGUCUUAUUUGUCCCCUCUGCUGUCCUUGUUUUUCUACCGUCCUUUUACAGCCCCCCGUUCUCUCUGUUCUUCCAGAGUGAUGAGGAGGAAG